UAGCCUCAAGUGAUGAUUAUUGGAGGUAGAGCACUGUUUGGACGAGGGGCCCCUCUCGGGUUACCGAAUUCAGACAAACUCCGAAUGCCAAUUAAUUUAACUUGGGAGUCAGAACAUGGGUGAUAAGGUCCGUGUUCGAAAGGGAAACAGCCCAGACCACCAGCUAAGGUCCCAAAAUAUAUGUUAAGUGGAAAAGGAUGUGGCGUUGCCCAGACAACUAGGAUGUUGGCUUAGAAGCAGCCAUCAUUUAAAGAGUGCGUAAUAGCUCACUAGUCGAGUGACACUGCGCCGAAAAUGUACCGGGGCUAAACAUAUUACCGAAGCUGUGGAUUGUCCUUUGGACAAUGGUAGGAGAGCGUU
This 360-nucleotide ribosomal RNA is filed under the name Staphylococcus aureus. RNAcentral describes it as "partial 23S ribosomal RNA". It matches the Rfam family "Bacterial large subunit ribosomal RNA", at positions 877 to 1240 of the family's 2925-position model. Lineage: Bacteria; Bacillati; Bacillota; Bacilli; Caryophanales; Staphylococcaceae. The record is from RNAcentral.